This 251-nucleotide ribosomal RNA is filed under the name uncultured Oscillospiraceae bacterium. RNAcentral's name for it is "partial 16S ribosomal RNA". It matches the Rfam family "Bacterial small subunit ribosomal RNA", at positions 90 to 339 of the family's 1533-position model. The record is from RNAcentral. Lineage: Bacteria; Bacillati; Bacillota; Clostridia; Eubacteriales; Oscillospiraceae.
CUUUAGUGGCGGACUGGUGAGUAACGCGUAAGCAAUCUGCCUGUUAGAGGGGAAUAACAAUGAGAAAUCAUUGCUAAUACCGCAUAUGCCAUAGUUAUCACAUGAUAAUAGUGGGAAAGGAGCAAUUCGCUAACAGAUGAGCUUGCGUCUGAUUAGAUAGUUGGUGGGGUAACGGCCUACCAAGUCGAUGAUCAGUAGCCGAACUGAGAGGUUGAUCGGCCACAUUGGGACUGAGAUACGGCCCAGACUCC